UACGUAGGGGGCAAGCGUUGUCCGGAAUCAUUGGGCGUAAGCGCGCGUUAGGCGGCCCGGUAAGUCCGCUGUCAAAAGUCCAGGGCUCAACCCUGGAAAGCCGGUGGAUACUGUCGGGCUAGAGUCCGGAAGAGGCGAGUGGAAUUCCUGGUGUAGCGGUGGAAUGCGCAGAUAUCAGGAGGAACACCGAGUGGCGAAGGCAGCUCGCUGGGACGGUACUGACGCUGAGGCGCGAAAGCGUGGGGAGCGAACAGGG
RNAcentral lists this ribosomal RNA (256 nucleotides) under uncultured bacterium. RNAcentral describes it as "partial 16S ribosomal RNA". It matches the Rfam family "Bacterial small subunit ribosomal RNA", at positions 524 to 777 of the family's 1533-position model. The record is from RNAcentral.